This 549-nucleotide ribosomal RNA is filed under the name uncultured Glomus. Its description in RNAcentral is "SSU rRNA". It matches the Rfam family "Eukaryotic small subunit ribosomal RNA", at positions 548 to 1098 of the family's 1831-position model. Lineage: Eukaryota; Fungi; Glomeromycota; Glomeromycetes; Glomerales; Glomeraceae. The record is from RNAcentral.
UUGGAGGGCAAGUCUGGUGCCAGCAGCCGCGGUAAUUCCAGCUCCAAUAGCGUAUAUUAAAGUUGUUGCAGUUAAAAAGCUCGUAGUUGAAUUUCGGGAUCAGUACGCUGGUCAUGCCUUUGGUAUGCACUGGUGUCACUGGUUUCUCCCUUCUGAAGAUCCGUGAUGUCAUUAAUUUGGUGUCGCGGGGAAUCAGGACUGUUACUUUGAAAAAAUUAGAGUGUUUAAAGCAAGCUCACGCUUGAAUACAUUAGCAUGGAAUAAUGAAAUAGGACGUUUGGCCCUAUUUUGUUGGUUUCUAGGAUCGACGUAAUGAUUAAUAGGGAUAGUUGGGGGCAUUAGUAUUCAAUUGUCAGAGGUGAAAUUCUUGGAUUUAUUGAAGACUAACUACUGCGAAAGCAUUUGCCAAGGAUGUUUUCAUUAAUCAAGAACGAAAGUUAGGGGAUCGAAGACGAUCAGAUACCGUCGUAGUCUUAACCAUAAACUAUGCCGACUAGGGAUCGGAUGAUGUUAAUUUUAUAAUGACUCAUUCGGCGCCUUACGGGAAAC